GUGCCAGCCGCCGCGGUAAUACCGGCAGCUCGAGUGAUGUCCCAUAUUAUUGGGCCUAAAGCGUCCGUAGCUGGCCGCGCAAGUCCAUCGGGAAAUCCACUCGCUCAACGGGUGGACGGCCGGUGGAAACUGCCCGGCUCGGGAGCGGAAGACCCCACGGGUACGUCCAGGGUAGGAGUGAAAUCCCGUAAUCCUGGACGGACCGCCGAUGGCGAAAGCACGUUGGGAAGACGAAGCCGACAGUGAGGGACGAAAGCUAGGGUCUCGAACCGGAUUAGAAACCCUAGUAGUCC
RNAcentral lists this ribosomal RNA (293 nucleotides) under uncultured bacterium. RNAcentral describes it as "partial 16S ribosomal RNA". It matches the Rfam family "Archaeal small subunit ribosomal RNA", at positions 455 to 747 of the family's 1478-position model. The record is from RNAcentral.